GAUGAACGCUGGCGGCGUGCCUAAUACAUGCAAGUCGAGCGAACGGACGAGAAGCUUGCUUCUCUGAUGUUAGCGGCGGACGGGUGAGUAACACGUGGAUAACCUACCUAUAAGACUGGGAUAACUUCGGGAAACCGGAGCUAAUACCGGAUAAUAUUUUGAACCGCAUGGUUCAAAAGUGAAAGACGGUCUUGCUGUCACUUAUAGAUGGAUCUGCGCUGCAUUAGCUAGUUGGUAAGGUAACGGCUUACCAAGGCAACGAUGCAUAGCCGACCUGAGAGGGUGGUCGGCCACACUGGAACGGGGACAGGGUCCAUACGCCUGCGGGAGGCAGCAGUAUGCAAUCUGCCGCAAUAGUCGAGAGCCUGACGGAGCAGCGCCGCGUGAGAGAUGAAGGUCUUCGGAUCGUAAUACUCUGUUAUUAGGGAAGAACAUAUGUGUACGUAACUGUGCACAUCGUGACGGUACCUAAUCAGAAAGCCACGGCUAACUACGUG
RNAcentral lists this ribosomal RNA (497 nucleotides) under uncultured bacterium. RNAcentral describes it as "partial 16S ribosomal RNA". It matches the Rfam family "Bacterial small subunit ribosomal RNA", at positions 28 to 507 of the family's 1533-position model. The record is from RNAcentral.